AGGAAUAUUGGUCAAUGGACGCGAGUCUGAACCAGCCAAGUAGCGUGAAGGAUGACUGCCCUAUGGGUUGUAAACUUCUUUUAUAUGGGAAUAAAGUUGUCCACGUGUGGAUUUUUGUAUGUACCAUAUGAAUAAGGAUCGGCUAACUCCGUGCCAGCAGCCGCGGUAAUACGGAGGAUCCGAGCGUUAUCCGGAUUUAUUGGGUUUAAAGGGAGCGUAGGCGGAUUGUUAAGUCAGUUGUGAAAGUUUGCGGCUCAACCGUAAAAUUGCAGUUGAUACUGGCAGUCUUGAGUGCAGUAGAGGUGGGCGGAAUUCGUGGUGUAGCGGUGAAAUGCUUAGAUAUCACGAAGAACUCCGAUUGCGAAGGCAGCUCACUGGAGUGUAACUGACGCUGAUGCUCGAAAGUGUGGGUAUCAAACAGGAUUAGAUACCCUGGUAGUCCACACAGUAAACGAUGAAUACUCGCUGUUUGCGAUAUACAGUAAGCGGCCAAGCGAAAGCAUUAAGUAUUCCACCUGGGGAGUACGCCGGCAACGGUGAAACUCAAAGGAAUUGACGGGGGCCCGCACAAGCGGAGGAACAUGUGGUUUAAUUCGAUGAUACGCGAGGAACCUUACCCGGGCUUAAAUUGCAAAUGAAUUAUGGGGAAACCCAUAGGCCGUAAGGCAUUUGUGAAGGUGCUGCAUGGUUGUCGUCAGCUCGUGCCGUGAGGUGUCGGCUUAAGUGCCAUAACGAGCGCAACCCUUAUCUUCAGUUACUAACAGGUCAUGCUGAGGACUCUGGAGAGACUGCCGUCGUAAGAUGUGAGGAAGGUGGGGAUGACGUCAAAUCAGCACGGCCCUUACGUCCGGGGCUACACACGUGUUACAAUGGGGGGUACAGAAGGCCGCUACCUGGUGACAGGAUGCCAAUCCCAAAAACCUCUCUCAGUUCGGAUCGAAGUCUGCAACCCGACUUCGUGAAGCUGGAUUCGCUAGUAAUCGCGCAUCAGCCAUGGCGCGGUGAAUACGUUCCCG
RNAcentral lists this ribosomal RNA (1016 nucleotides) under uncultured bacterium. Its description in RNAcentral is "bacterial SSU rRNA". It matches the Rfam family "Bacterial small subunit ribosomal RNA", at positions 357 to 1376 of the family's 1533-position model. The record is from RNAcentral.